CAUUUUUGGUACAUUAAAAAUAGAAACACUCCUUUAUAGAUAAGUGCUUUUUAUUUGAUUUACUAUACAGCUUGCACGUGUACAAGCGCGCAGCCAAACACGCGGAGAUAAAAAUGGUGCCAGUCUUCCUUCGUCAACCACGAUUCGACAUGUAUAAUUCGGUGCACAUGUGUAAUCGAAAUUAUAUCCUUGAACUUAAACCUGGACGAAAUUGAGAUAACGAUUUCCGAAUAAAUAGUUCGAACAAUGAUUAUUAUGCUGCGAUUAAUAACACUUCGAUCGAGGCUGCGGAUGUUCAUGUAUUUAUAGAAAUGUUGUACAUUCAAACGUGCCAAAGUCUAAUAAAAUCAUAAUAAAAAGCAUCAUAGUGCAUAAUAUUCAAGUCUCUGAUCUACAAUCUAGUUACACGACAGAUACACGGAAUGUAAAAGAAUAUACGUACGACGGAAAUAACUACUGACGACUACAAAUAAAUCUUGCGUAUGUGUUUAUUAUGUGCCUACAAAGUGUGAGGUGCAGAUAAUCAUCUUCGAUUCGUGAUGCGCAAAAUUACCAAGUGAAUUGAAACGUUUGUCAUCAUUAGUCAGCAGAAAAUUUUAUGGAUUUACUAUGUUGCCUGCAAUGACUGCUACUUGUGAGGAAUGUGCAAUUCUAUUCAAGUAAAUAAAUAAUAUAUGCAUGCAUAUAAUCUCUUCUGUUUAUUCAUUUGAAUAAUUAUAUUGUAAUUAUGACAUGUCGUUGGUAAAGAAGGAAUCUUUUUGCACACGCGCGUGUGAUUUCUAACCGCGGAAGUUUUACCAGGAAAUACAAUAAAUCCGCAAUAAUUCAAGAUUUAUGUCAGCGGCGUUUAUCAGCGCGGAAUAUGAUUCUAUAAUUUCACGAUGUGAAACGUACAAACAUUUCGUAAAUUGUCGCCGUUGCAAAAAAAAAGAAAAAAUAAAAAAAAGAA
Frieseomelitta varia is the source of this 949-nucleotide long non-coding RNA. RefSeq lists it as uncharacterized. The transcript has 3 exons. NCBI's taxonomy places the organism in Eukaryota, Metazoa, Arthropoda, Insecta, Hymenoptera, Apidae. The record is from RefSeq and is a predicted model, not a curated record.